This 291-nucleotide long non-coding RNA is filed under the name Parus major (Great Tit). RNAcentral's name for it is "lncRNA (ENSPMJG00000015292.1)". The record is from RNAcentral. Lineage: Eukaryota; Metazoa; Chordata; Aves; Passeriformes; Paridae.
GAAAGUUGAGGAAUUGUGUAUCCUCACCAGAUCUCUAAACAAUUCUCCAACACAGCAUCCUAGGCUGUACCUGACCUGAAUUCAGAUGCAAAAGAACUGGUUUUGGCAUAGUGCAGCUCAGGAAUCAGAAACCUUUGAGAAGAACCCCAAAGACAAACUACCCUUGAAGCAAAAGAAACAUCACUUCCUGCUGAAAGUCAAGACAUGGAGCAAACUUGAAGUACACUCUGUCUCAGAAAAGAUUUGAUAAAAUAUAACUCCAAAGUGCUCAGCAGCUCAAAACAACAGGAC